GGAGAGGUGGCUGAGUGGUUGAAAGCAGCGGUUUGCUAAACCGCCGUACCGGGUAAACUGGUACCGGGGGUUCGAAUCCCCCCCUCUCCGCCA
Molecule: transfer RNA, 93 nt
Filed under: Lentisphaerota bacterium
Lineage: Bacteria; Pseudomonadati; Lentisphaerota
Description: Lentisphaerae bacterium (anaerobic digester metagenome) tRNA-Ser
Rfam family: tRNA
About the family: Transfer RNA (tRNA) molecules are approximately 80 nucleotides in length.
Source: RNAcentral